UACAGAGGUGGCAAGCGUUGUUCGGAUUUACUGGGCGUAAAGGGUGCGUAGGCGGCCUUGCGUGUCGGGUGUGAAAUCCCACGGAUCAUCCGUGGAACUGCAUUCGAAACUGCGGGGCUGGAGAACAGGAGAGGAAGGUGGAAUUCUCGGUGUAGCGGUGAAAUGCGUUGAUAUCGAGAGGAACGCCGGUGGCGAAGGCGGCCUUCUGGACUGUAACUGACGCUGAGGCACGAAAGCUAGGGGAGCAAACAGG
Molecule: ribosomal RNA, 253 nt
Filed under: uncultured bacterium
Lineage: Bacteria
Description: partial 16S ribosomal RNA
Rfam family: Bacterial small subunit ribosomal RNA
Source: RNAcentral